GAUAGAAGGUUCUCGAAAAAAAGGCUUCUAACCUUGUUUUAAGCGGUGAGAUUCCGUUUUUCUGUCU
Molecule: transfer RNA, 67 nt
Filed under: Scolytinae sp. BMNH 1274292
Lineage: Eukaryota; Metazoa; Arthropoda; Insecta; Coleoptera; Curculionidae
Description: tRNA-Ser
Source: RNAcentral